This 386-nucleotide unclassified non-coding RNA is filed under the name uncultured bacterium. Its description in RNAcentral is "contains 16S-23S intergenic spacer region". The record is from RNAcentral.
UCCGAGUUGACCCCGGCAGUCUCCUGUGAGUCCCCAUCACCCCGAAGGGCAUGCUGGCAACACAGAACAAGGGUUGCGCUCGUUGCGGGACUUAACCCAACAUCUCACGACACGGGCUGACGACAGCCAUGCAGCACCUCGACUGGACCCCCUUGCGGGGUACCGGUGUUUCCACCGGCGUUGACCAGCCGUUCGAGCCCAGGUAAGGUUCUUCGCGUUGCGUCGAAUUGAACCACAUGCUCCACCGCUUGUGCGGGCCCCCGUCAAUUCCUUUGAGUUUCAGCCUUGCGACUGUACUCCCCAGGCGGGGUGCUUAACGCGUUAGCUGCGACACUGACGAGCAAGCUCGCCAACGUCUAGCACCCAUCGUUUACGGCGUGGACUAC